GACGAACGCUGGCGGCGUGCUUAACACAUGCAAGUCGAACGGUAAGGCCCUUCGGGGUACACGAGUGGCGAACGGGUGAGUAACACGUGGGUGAUCUGCCCUGCACUUCGGGAUAAGCCUGGGAAACUGGGUCUAAUACCGGAUAGGACCACUGCCUGCAUGGGGGGUGGUGGAAAGCUUUUGCGGUGUGGGAUGGGCCCGCGGCCUAUCAGCUUGGUGGUGGGGUGAUGGCAUACCAAGGCGACGACGGGUAGCCGGCCUGAGAGGGUCACCGACCCAACUGGGAUGGCGUUACGGCCCAGACUCCUACGGGAGGAAGCAGUGGGGAAUAUUGCACCAUGGGCGCAAGCCUGAUGCAGCGACGCCGCGUGAGGGAUGACGGACUUCGGGUUGUAAACCUCUUUCAGCACCGACGAAGCGCAAGUGACGGUAGGUGCAGAAGAAGGACCGGCCAACUACGUGCCAGCCGCCGCCGUAA
RNAcentral lists this ribosomal RNA (478 nucleotides) under uncultured bacterium. Its description in RNAcentral is "partial 16S ribosomal RNA". It matches the Rfam family "Bacterial small subunit ribosomal RNA", at positions 28 to 523 of the family's 1533-position model. The record is from RNAcentral.